Molecule: ribosomal RNA, 471 nt
Filed under: uncultured organism
Description: partial 16S ribosomal RNA
Rfam family: Bacterial small subunit ribosomal RNA
Source: RNAcentral
ACUCCUACGGGAGGCAGCAGUGGGGAAUUUUGGACAAUGGGCGAAAGCCUGAUCCAGCAAUGCCGCGUGAGUGAAGAAGGCCUUCGGGUUGUAAAGCUCUUUUGUCAGGGAAGAAACGGUGAAAGCUAAUAUCUUUUGCUAAUGACGGUACCUGAAGAAUAAGCACCGGCUAACUACGUGCCAGCAGCCGCGGUAAUACGUAGGGUGCAAGCGUUAAUCGGAAUUACUGGGCGUAAAGCGUGCGCAGGCGGUUUUGUAAGUCUGAUGUGAAAUCCCCGGGCUCAACCUGGGAAUUGCAUUGGAGACUGCAAGGCUAGAAUCUGGCAGAGGGGGGUAGAAUUCCACGUGUAGCAGUGAAAUGCGUAGAUAUGUGGAGGAACACCGAUGGCGAAGGCAGCCCCCUGGGUCAAGAUUGACGCUCAUGCACGAAAGCGUGGGGAGCAAACAGGAUUAGAUACCCCGGUAGUCCCA